AGAGUUUGAUCAUGGCUCAGAACGAACGCUGGCGGCGUGCUUAACACAUGCAAGUCGAACGUGAUUCGGAGCUUGCUCCGAUGAAAGUGGCGCACGGGUGAGUAACGCGUGGAUAACCUGCCCUGGUAUCUGGGAUAACAUCUCGAAAGGGGUACUAAUACCGGAUAAGCCCACGGAACCUUCGGGUUCUGCGGGAAAAGGAGGCCUCUAUUUAUAAGCUUCCGUACCAUGAUGGGUCCGCGUACCAUUAGCUAGUUGGUGGGGUAAUGGCCUACCAAGGCGACGAUGGUUAGCUGGUCUGAGAGGAUGAUCAGCCACGCUGGAACUGAGACACGGUCCAGACUCCUACGGGAGGCAGCAGUGGGGAAUUUUGCGCAAUGGGGGAAACCCUGACGCAGCAACGCCGCGUGAGUGAUGAAGGCUUUCGGGUCGUAAAGCUCUGUCAGUGGGGAAGAAAUGGGACUGGCUAAUAUCCAGUCUUCUUGACGGUACCCACAAAGGAAGCACCGGCUAACUCCGUGCCAGCAGCCGCGGUAAUACGGGGGGUGCAAGCGUUGUUCGGAUUUAUUGGGCGUAAAGCGCGUGUAGGCGGUUUCUUAAGUCUGAUGUGAAAGCCCUGGGCUCAACCCAGGAAG
This 635-nucleotide ribosomal RNA is filed under the name uncultured bacterium. RNAcentral describes it as "bacterial SSU rRNA". It matches the Rfam family "Bacterial small subunit ribosomal RNA", at positions 8 to 621 of the family's 1533-position model. The record is from RNAcentral.